This 119-nucleotide ribosomal RNA is filed under the name Octopus vulgaris (common octopus). RNAcentral also lists the same sequence under 2 other names. The record is from RNAcentral. Lineage: Eukaryota; Metazoa; Mollusca; Cephalopoda; Octopoda; Octopodidae.
GCUUACGGCCAUAUCACGUUGAAAGCACCGGUUCUCGUCCGAUCACCGAAGUUAAGCAACAUCGAGCCUAGUUAGUACUUAGAUGGGUGACCGCUUGGGAAACCUAGGUGCUGUAAGCA